RNAcentral lists this transfer RNA (72 nucleotides) under Urocitellus parryii (Arctic ground squirrel). RNAcentral's name for it is "Spermophilus parryii (Arctic ground squirrel) tRNA". It matches the Rfam family "tRNA". From Rfam's summary of the family: Transfer RNA (tRNA) molecules are approximately 80 nucleotides in length. Their secondary structure includes four short double-helical elements and three loops (D, anti-codon, and T loops). Lineage: Eukaryota; Metazoa; Chordata; Mammalia; Rodentia; Sciuridae. The record is from Rfam by way of RNAcentral. RNAcentral also lists the same sequence under 2 other names.
UGGGUUGUGGCUCAGUAAUAGAGCACUUGCCUAGCAUGUGUGAGGCACUGGGUUCAAUCCUCAGCAUCACAU